AUGAACGCCUCCUCGGCCCCGGAGUCGGAUGGACUGCAAGUGGCGUUUUUCAAAACAUUCUGGCAGACCAUCAAACCAGAAGUCAUGGCCCUCUUCGACAAAUUAUUUUCGGGGACCAUGGACCUUGGGCGCUUGAACUAUGGGGUCAUCAUUCUCUUACCCAAGGUUUCGGGUGCCUCUGACAUCCGCCAGUUUUGGCCUAUCACUGUGUUCAAUGUGAUAUUCCGGAUCCUGGCCAAAGGGUACGCCAAUAGGGUGACCCUUUUAGCUGACAAUAUAACUCACCCCAACCAAUCUGCCUUCAUUCAAGGACGGUUUAUUCUGGAUGGGGUUUUGGUCUUCCACGAGGUCCUUCAUGAAGUCCGGUCCAAACUGUUGGGGAACGUAGUAAUUUCAAAAACAUUCCUACGCACAUGCAAUAUCAUGGUGAUGCAUAGCAACAAGAGGGGAGAGUGUUGUCUACGUACCUUCGUAGAUCGUAAGCGGAAGCGUUAG
Molecule: ribosomal RNA, 495 nt
Filed under: Triticum aestivum (bread wheat)
Lineage: Eukaryota; Viridiplantae; Streptophyta; Magnoliopsida; Poales; Poaceae
Description: partial small subunit ribosomal RNA
Source: RNAcentral